UACAGAGGCCUCGAGCGUUAGGCGGAAUCACUGGGCAUAAAGCGCACGUAGGCGGUGUCGUAAGUCGGGUGUGAAAUCCCUCGGCCUAACCGAGGAACUGCGCCCGAUACUGCGAUGCUUGAGGACCAGAGGGGUGCAUGGAAUUUCCGGUGGAGCGGUGAAAUGCGUUGAUAUCGGAAGGAACUCCGGCGGCGAAAGCGAUGCACUGGCUGGUUUCUGACGCUGAGGUGCGAAAGCCAGGGGAGCAAACGGG
RNAcentral lists this ribosomal RNA (253 nucleotides) under uncultured bacterium. Its description in RNAcentral is "partial 16S ribosomal RNA". It matches the Rfam family "Bacterial small subunit ribosomal RNA", at positions 524 to 776 of the family's 1533-position model. The record is from RNAcentral.